GAAGAAAAGAGAAGACUAGAGUGAAGGCAGACUAAAGAGGACUGAAGAUUGGGAGAAGAUCUGAGUGAAGAGGAGAGUGGAGUGAAGAACUCAAGAAAGAAGACCAGACGAAGCAGAAGGGAAAAAGAAUACCUACAGGAGAUCACAGGUGGGAAGUGAGCUGCUGAGGUUAGCUCCAGCUUGAACUGAUGACAUUUUAGAGGA
Non-coding RNA from Anolis sagrei ordinatus, 204 nucleotides. The record is from RefSeq and is a predicted model, not a curated record. Lineage: Eukaryota; Metazoa; Chordata; Lepidosauria; Squamata; Anolidae.